This 471-nucleotide ribosomal RNA is filed under the name uncultured bacterium. RNAcentral describes it as "bacterial SSU rRNA". It matches the Rfam family "Bacterial small subunit ribosomal RNA", at positions 328 to 793 of the family's 1533-position model. The record is from RNAcentral.
GCUGAGCACUCCUACGGGAGGCAGCAGUGGGGAAUAUUGCACAAUGGGCGCAAGCCUGAUGCAGCCAUGCCGCGUGUAUGAAGAAGGCCUUCGGGUUGUAAAGUACUUUCAGCAGUGAGGAAGUGGGUAUGUUAAUAGCAUACUCAUUUGACGUUAGCUGCAGAAGAAGCACCGGCUAACUCCGUGCCAGCAGCCGCGGUAAUACGGAGGGUGCGAGCGUUAAUCGGAAUUACUGGGCGUAAAGCGCAUGCAGGUGGUUUGUUAAGUCAGAUGUGAAAGCCCGGGGCUCAACCUCGGAAUUGCAUUUGAAACUGGCAAACUAGAGUACUGUAGAGGGGGUAGAAUUUCAGGUGUAGCGGUGAAAUGCGUAGAGAUCUGAAGGAAUACCGGUGGCGAAGGCGGCCCCCUGGACAGAUACUGACACUCAGAUGCGAAAGCGUGGGGAGCAAACAGGAUUAGAUACCCUGGUAG